AAAGUCGUAACAAGGUUUCCGUAGGUGAACCUGCGGAAGGAUCAUUACCGUGGGGACUCGUCCCCAUUGAGAUAGCACCCCCUGUUUACGAGUACCGUCCGUUUCCUCGGCGGGUUCGCGCGCCGCCAGGGACCCCCCCCCAAGAAACCUCUUGCAGUAGCAGUACCGUCAGCAGAAAACCCAAUAUCAAAACUUUCAACAACGGAUCUCUUGGUUCUG
This 219-nucleotide unclassified non-coding RNA is filed under the name Ascomycota sp. RNAcentral's name for it is "partial contains small subunit ribosomal RNA, internal transcribed spacer 1, and 5.8S ribosomal RNA". The stretch from base 1 to 47 matches the Rfam family "Eukaryotic small subunit ribosomal RNA", at positions 1785 to 1831 of the family's 1831-position model. Lineage: Eukaryota; Fungi; Ascomycota. The record is from RNAcentral.